This is a long non-coding RNA of Saccostrea echinata, 243 nucleotides long. RefSeq lists it as uncharacterized. The record is from RefSeq and is a predicted model, not a curated record. The transcript has 4 exons. NCBI's taxonomy places the organism in Eukaryota, Metazoa, Mollusca, Bivalvia, Ostreida, Ostreidae.
AGCUAAAAAGCCCAGUGCAAUGCUCAGAAUCAAAUCUGACAAAACAAGAAAGCGGGAGAUGAUGGGAGCGAUCCACAAAGAGCUUAUGACGAUGGCAAGGAAACGAAAAGACGGCGUCUUUAAGGGCUUUAUCAAAAAAGUGAUCGGGAUGGUGAAGAAAAGGAAUCUUAAAGAAAUAACUUCAGGAGAGGAUCCUGUCGAAUUGAAAGUAGAACACGUCCAACAUGGAAUACAGGUCCAGUC